CGAGACCCCAGGUCAGGCGGGAUUACCCGCUGA
RNAcentral lists this ribosomal RNA (33 nucleotides) under Myrsine myrtillina. Its description in RNAcentral is "partial 26S ribosomal RNA". The record is from RNAcentral. Lineage: Eukaryota; Viridiplantae; Streptophyta; Magnoliopsida; Ericales; Primulaceae.